RNAcentral lists this long non-coding RNA (4241 nucleotides) under Equus caballus (horse). RNAcentral's name for it is "lncRNA (ENSECAG00000050363.1)". Lineage: Eukaryota; Metazoa; Chordata; Mammalia; Perissodactyla; Equidae. The record is from RNAcentral.
GGCAAUCCUUGCCAACCUCAUCCUGCUCAGAGAAGGCCACGCUCAGGCUUUUCAGAGCAGAGAGUAACAUUGUUUCUUGCUGCCCUUUGGCCACUGUGGUACGGUUAGCUGAGGAGAGGCCUUGGCGAUGGCACUGCCAGAGACUGAUGAACAAGGAGAAGCUGAAUAUGGAGGGAAGGGAGAAAAAAGAGGAGACCAGGAAGGAUUGAAGCUGCCCUCUCUCCCUUAGCAUCUCAAGGCCUUGCCGCAUCGUCGGACACACGCGGAAAGCCUAGGGUCCUGAAGCCCCGCCCCGCCAAAGCCGCCUCUCCCCGGAGCCACUUCUGACCCGGCUACAGCCUUCCUGAUGGCAUAAGAGCCAUUUUUUUGGGCCACGGUGAACUGAGGGAUCCAGGCUCAGCUCUCAGACUUGGAUCGACCUCUCAGUGGCAAGGCCUGAGGGCUCGUCAGUCCCAGUAAGCCAACAGGGCAUGAAGCUGCACCCUAGAAUUGACAAGGAGGAGGGUGGGGGCCCCGCCUAGAGGAUUCUCUUCCACAGCUGCAUUUUCUGAGUGACAAUCAUGAGCCAGAAGGAAGAGAGAAUAAUCCUUCCUGAGCAUCUACUAUGCACUCAUAAUUUUUUGCACUUGGCCUUUGCGGCAACCUAAGCGGCAGUACUGUUUUCCCCGGCCCCUGCUGGUAACAUCGCGGGGCCAGGGCUGGGGUGCAGACGGAGGGCCACAUCCCCCGUGCCACAGGCGUCAGUGUUCUAAAGCCAUCUGCCUGCUCUGUCAAAAAAGGUGGCCUUGGGUGUGGCAGCUAAUGAAGCUUUCCUCUGCAGGGGUACCUCACAGAGCACAGAGACGCAAGAAUGUACAGCACCAGGAGUGAACCCUAAUGUAAACCAUGGACGUUGGGUGAUAACGAUGUGUCAGUGUAGGCUCAUCAGUUGUAACAAAUUUAGCGAAUGCCGAACCUGAACCUGACGUCUGUCUCCUGGAAACUUGUGCCCAUCAGUCCCAUAGUGACUCAGAGCACCUCCUCUUCCUCGUGACCGUCCUUCAGAUGUCUACAGAUCACAGGAACAUCCCCCUGAGUAUUUCCUCUGCUUCCAGCUAAGCUUUUAUAUUUCCUUGGACCAUUUUGGUUUUUUCAGCCACUUUAUCUUCCUCCGAACAAGAAGCUGCCUUGUUCUUAGAUGACCCAUCUCCAUGGCCAGAGUGGAUGGGUACAGAGGAGGUAUUGACGCAAGCUGUCCGAUCCGAUUUCUGCUCUCGGAUUUUUCAAACUGGCGCUGAAGUCAGUCAGAUCCUCUCUGGGUAGGAGCUGACGGAUGUGAGGUUUGGGAUGUGUUGACAGCCGUGUUUUCUGCCGUGUGUGGGAAGAACACCAUGUAAGAGAGACAAUGAAGGUGACCCUGAGAGGAGCAGAGAAAUGGAGGGGGAGGGACUGCCGGCAGCCUUCGGGCAUCUGGAUGCGGUUGCCCCGGAAGCCCAGCGCUAUCCCUGUCCUUCCGGUGGAUUGUCAUUCAAUCCUUUUUGUAUUCUGUGAACCAAUAAAGUCCCUUUGUCUAAACCAGUUUACAGUGGAUUUCUGAGACUUUCAAAUAAGAGAAUCAAACUGGCCACAUCUGAAAACCUAGAGCGUGGGCUUUGGAAUUCAAAAAGCCUCGGUUUGAAUCCUAUGUUCGCCACUUAUUACCUUUGUGAUCUUUAGGAAAUUUCCUAAGUACUCUGACCUCGUUUUCUUCACCUGUAAAAUGGGACCAGCAUUCGGUACGUUACCGCUUUGCUAUAAGGAAUAAGGAAGGAUCCUGCCUAUAAAGGCCACUUCUGCACCUGACACACAGUAGUCUCAUCCCAUUGGCAACAGCAAAGCAAAUUUUAUCUUUAUUACUACCGAGUUUCAGUUAAUUCAGGCAUUUACACAAGCUGUCACAAAAUUUGUUUCCUCACCCUGAACUGACUUUUUGAGCCUAAUUGCUGGAUUUUCAGAAUGUUUCUGCUCACUUUCCCCUUUGUUAAUUCCAGAAAAAUUGUUUAACAGAAAUGUUGAAGUUUUUCAAAGGACAGAUGCUCCUCUGUCCCCUAGGAAGCUUCUGACUUGUGUUGUUUUCAGAGUUUCAUGACCAGGGCAACAGAAGCAGUCAAUGUUUGAAGUCUUUCUCCUCUGCUGUGGGUAAAUUCUUGGGCCCUUUCCCAGAAAUGACUUUCCAGAAUAAUUGUUCUAGAAAGCUCCACGGAGACUGCCUGUCUGCUGAACUGUCACACGUUGGAGUUAAUUCACAGUUCCCGUCAUCUAUCCACAAUGAUAUGCAAAAAGCCCUUGGCUUGGAGAUAGAAGAUUCUAGGCUCAAUUUCCAGCUUUCGAAGUUUCCAGACUCCUCGGGUUACGAGUCCUGUAGGGGCUGGUGCAGGAGUUCUAAGAUGAACUCAGCUACUGACCUCAAACAGAUCAUGUUCUAAUGGAAGAGAGCAGUCACAUACAGCUGUCAUUUAACAGAUAUAAUAACAUUCCUUUGAAGCCAGUGAUGGCCAUGUGACUUUUUUUCUGGCCAAUGAAAACUAAGCAGAAGUCAGCUGAAGGGUGUUUCUGGAAAAUCUCUUGCUGUCAUGAUAAAAGGAAAAAGAUGCAGCAGCUAUGGCUCUUUGUCUUUUCUCCCUUCUUCCUGCUUUAUGUGAUGAUGUGAUGACUGGAACUAUGGCAGCCAUCCUGAGCAAUGAGGCAAGAAACAUAAGUAGAAGACAACAUUCCAUGGAUAGCACAGGAAAGACAGAAGGAGUCCAUGUCCCUGAUGGCAUCACUGAGCAGCCAAACCAUUGCCAUCAAUUUCUCACCUCUAGAUUUUUUGUGUGAGAAAAAUAAACCCCCCGUUUGUUGAAACUGUGUGUAUCAGAUAUUUGUGCACCACAUUGCAUCUCUAAACCUUUGAUUCCAGUCAUGUAUAUGUUUUGCAAACAUUUUCUCCCCAUCUGUGGCUUGUCUUUUGGUUUUCUUAACAAUAGUUUUCAAAGAGCAAAAGUUUAAAUUUUGAUGGAGUCCAUUGUAUCAAUCUUUUCCUUUUCAGGUUUGUGUUUUUUUAUGUUCUUUGCUUACCUAAGGUCACAAAAGUUUUCCUCCUGUUUUGUUUUUUUUUUUAGAAGAUUUAUCGUUUCAGCUCUUACACUUAGGCCUAUGAAUGCUUUUGAGUUAAUAUUUUAUAUGGCUUGAUAUAUGAGUGAAGGUUAUUUUUUUUUUGCCUUAUAGAUACCCAGUGGUUCCAUUUGUUGAAAAGUCUAUUCUUCCCCCAUUUUAAGUACCAUGGCAUCUUUGUCAAAAUCAAUUGACCAUGUUAGAAUGGGUCUAUUUCUGAAAUCUUUUGUUCCAUCGAUUUUUUUUAUUGUUGUUCCAUUGAUUUUUGUGUCUACCUUUGUGCUAGCAUCUUGCUGACUUUGGUAGCACUAUAGUGUAUUGUAAAUGGAGGUGAUUUUUUUUUUUUUUUUUGGUGAGGAAGAUUGGCCCUGAGCGAACAUCUAUUGACAAUCUUUCUCUUUUUACUUAAAGGAAGAUUGUCCCUGAGCUAACAUCUGUGCCAAUCUUCCUGUAUUUUGUAUGUGGGACAACCUCCACGGCAUGACUCCCUCUCUCAAUAAGCAGUGAGUGGGUCCGCACCCAGGAUCUGAACUGGUGAACCCCAUGCUGCCGAAGCAGAGUGUGCAAACUUAACCUCUAUGCCCCUGGCCAGCCCCUGGAGUUGAUUUUUAAAUUUUAGUUUCUAAUUGCUCAUAUCAGUAUAUAGAAAUGCAAUUAAUUUUUGUAUAUCGCCCUUGAAUCUUUCACUUUUGCUGGAAUCACUUAUAAUUCUACAGCUUUUUUCUUCUUUUGGUGUAUUCCUAGGAUUUGUCUGGGUACACAGUCAUGAUGUCUACAAAUAAAGUCAAUUUCUCCUUUAUGCAAUCGAUUGUUAUCUGUCAGGAUUUAUUCCUUAUCUUUGGGCCUUAACCAGUUGACCACAUGUGGCUCAGCAUGACCUUCUUCAUGUUUGUCCUGCCUGAUGUUCAUUGAGCAUCUUGAAUCUGUAAAUUCAUAUUUAUAAUCAAAUUUGGGAAAAUUUCAGCCAUUAUUUCCUCACAUGUUUUUUCUGCUCCAUUCUCUUGCUCUCCUCUCCUUCUGGAACUCCGCUUACAUAUAUGUUAGACCAUCCGAUACUCAGGUCCCUGAGUCUCUGUUCUUUUUUUUAAAAAAAAUCUUUUUCUCUCUGUUCUUCAGAUUAUAUAAUUUCU